Molecule: ribosomal RNA, 374 nt
Filed under: uncultured organism
Description: partial 16S ribosomal RNA
Rfam family: Bacterial small subunit ribosomal RNA
Source: RNAcentral
AGAGGGUGCAAGCGUUAAUCGGAAUUACUGGGCGUAAAGGGCGCGUAGGUGGCUAGCCAAGUCAGAUGUGAAAUCCCCGGGCUUAACCUGGGAACUGCAUCUGAAACUGGUUAGCUAGAGUACAGUAGAGGGAAGUGGAAUUUCAGGUGUAGCGGUGAAAUGCGUAGAUAUCUGAAGGAACACCAGUGGCGAAGGCGACUUCCUGGACUGAUACUGACACUGAGGCGCGAAAGCGUGGGGGGGAGCAAACAGGAUUAGAUACCCUGGUAGUCCACGCCGUAAACGAUGAGAACUAGCUGUUGGGGGGAGAUUACCCUCUUAGUGGCGAAGCUAACGCAAUAAGUUCUCCGCCUGGGAGUACGACCGCAAGGUUA